This 838-nucleotide ribosomal RNA is filed under the name Nymphargus anomalus (Napo cochrane frog). RNAcentral describes it as "partial 16S ribosomal RNA". It matches the Rfam family "Bacterial large subunit ribosomal RNA", at positions 1483 to 2577 of the family's 2925-position model. The record is from RNAcentral. Lineage: Eukaryota; Metazoa; Chordata; Amphibia; Anura; Centrolenidae.
AACUAAUUCCUACACCAUCUAAAAACCCUUACACAAUACUGAGUAAUUCUAUGCCCUCAUAGAAGCUUUCAUGUUAAAACUAGUAACAAGAAGAAGAACUUCUCCUAAAUGCAAGUGUAAACCAGAUAGGACUCACCACUGACAAUUAACACCCGUGAACAAAAAGUAACAACUCAACAAGAAAACCUUACUACACCAUAUGUUAACCUAACACUAGAGCAUUACAAGAAAGAUUAAAAGAAAAAGAAGGAACUCGGCAAAUAUUAACCUCGCCUGUUUACCAAAAACAUCGCCUCUUGAAAAACAUAAGAGGUCCAGCCUGCCCAGUGACUCUGUUUAACGGCCGCGGUAUCCUAACCGUGCGAAGGUAGCGUAAUCACUUGUUCUUUAAAUGAGGACUAGUAUGAACGGCACCACGAAGGUUAUACUGUCUCCUUUUUCUAAUCAGUGAAACUAAUCUCCCCGUGAAGAAGCGGGGAUAAAUUUAUAAGACGAGAAGACCCUAUGGAGCUUUAAACCACGCAACACCUGCUCCAACUCAGCUAACUUCCAGAAAAUUCCUAUCUAUCCCCGCAGGGUGAUUGCCAGUUUUAGGUUGGGGUGACCGCGGAGCACAAAAUAACCUCCACAUUGAAAGGAGUUCUACUCCUUAGCCAAGAGCCACACCUCCCCGCAUCAACAAAAUGACAUUAAUUGACCCAAUAUAUUGAUCAACGAACUAAGUUACCCUAGGGAUAACAGCGCAAUCCACUUUAAGAGCCCCUAUCGACAAGUGGGUUUACGACCUCGAUGUUGGAUCAGGGUAUCCCGGUGGUGCAGCCGCUACCAAAGGUUCGUU